This 156-nucleotide small RNA is filed under the name uncultured eukaryote. RNAcentral describes it as "partial transfer-messenger RNA". It matches the Rfam family "transfer-messenger RNA", at positions 197 to 361 of the family's 374-position model. Rfam says of the family: Bacterial tmRNA, also known as 10Sa RNA or SsrA, is named for its dual tRNA and mRNA-like properties. Its role is to liberate the mRNA from a stalled ribosome. The record is from RNAcentral.
UGGAUAGCUUAAAUUGUUGUCUCGCCAAUUUGAGCAAAACUUAAGAGGCUCGUGGUUGGCAUCCUGACUGUCGGUUCGCCAACCAUUAAAGCCAUAGACAGAAUCUAAACAUGUAGAGUCAUGGGCGUAGUACUGGCGGACGCGGGUUCAACUCCC